UACGGGGGGGGUAAGCGUUGUUCGGAAUUACUGGGCGUAAAGGGCUCGUAGGCGGCCAACUAAGUCGGACGUGAAAUCCCUCAGCUUAACUGGGGAACUGCGUCCGAUACUGGAUGGCUUGGAUUCGGGAGAGGGAUGCGGAAUUCCAGGUGUAGCGGUGAAAUGCGUAGAUAUCUGGAGGAACACCGGUGGCGAAGGCGGCAUCCUGGACCGACAUUGACGCUGAGGAGCGAAAGCCAGGGGAGCAAACGGGAUUAGAAACCCGUGUAGUCC
This 273-nucleotide ribosomal RNA is filed under the name uncultured bacterium. Its description in RNAcentral is "partial 16S ribosomal RNA". It matches the Rfam family "Bacterial small subunit ribosomal RNA", at positions 524 to 796 of the family's 1533-position model. The record is from RNAcentral.